Pipistrellus kuhlii (Kuhl's pipistrelle) is the source of this 521-nucleotide long non-coding RNA. RefSeq lists it as uncharacterized. The transcript is spliced from 4 exons. The record is from RefSeq and is a predicted model, not a curated record. Lineage: Eukaryota; Metazoa; Chordata; Mammalia; Chiroptera; Vespertilionidae.
UGUCUCCCUCCCUCCCUCUUUCUCCUCGGAGGCUGUGGAGCCGCCGCGCCGCCGGCUCGCAGUCCCGCCGGGGAGCGAAGUGCGGGUGCGGGUGCCCCCACCACCCGGGGCGGCGGGCCGCGCGGAGGCUCGUCCGGGACGGAGCCCGGGCGCGGGGCCGGGGAGCCGGGGAGCCGGGCGGCGGGCCGGCGCCGCGUCCGGGCGAGUCCGGGGCAGGAAGGCGGCCGCAGCCGAGGGCAGAGGGCAGAGGGCGGAGAGCGGAGAGCGGAGAGCGGCCUGGCCGCCGGGAGCCCCGCCCGGGACGCCGCCGGCCGCUGGGCGCGCACCCGGGCGGCCCGGAGUCCGGAGCGAGGCGCUGGCCGCCGGCGGGGGGCGUGCCCCUCCCCGCCCCGCGCGGCCGCUGCGCCGGGCAUGUGAGCGGGAAGCCGGCCGCGGCGCAGGACGGCGGCGGAGCAGCAGCGGCAGCAGCGGAGCCCGGAGCGCGGAGCCCGGCGGAGCGCGGAGCCAGGCGCCCGGCAGAG